AGUGAACGCUGGCGGUAGGCCUAACACAUGCAAGUCGAACGGCAGCACAGUAAGAGCUUGCUCUUACGGGUGGCGAGUGGCGGACGGGUGAGGAAUACAUCGGAAUCUACUUUUUCGUGGGGGAUAACGUAGGGAAACUUACGCUAAUACCGCAUACGACCUACGGGUGAAAGCAGGGGAUCUUCGGACCUUGCGCGAUUGAACGAGCCGAUGUCGGAUUAGCUAGUUGGCGGGGUAAAGGCCCACCAAGGCGACGAUCCGUAGCUGGUCUGAGAGGAUGAUCAGCCACACUGGAACUGAGACACGGUCCAGACUCCUACGGGAGGCAGCAGUGGGGAAUAUUGGACAAUGGGCGCAAGCCUGAUCCAGCCAUACCGCGUGAGUGAAGAAGGCCUUCGGGUUGUAAAGCCCUUUUGUUGGGAAAGAAAAGCAGCAGGUUAAUACCCCGCUGUUCUGACGGUACCCAAAGAAUAAGCACCGGCUAACUUCGUG
RNAcentral lists this ribosomal RNA (492 nucleotides) under uncultured bacterium. RNAcentral describes it as "partial 16S ribosomal RNA". It matches the Rfam family "Bacterial small subunit ribosomal RNA", at positions 29 to 507 of the family's 1533-position model. The record is from RNAcentral.